AGUCGUAGCUGGGCGCUGGCCUGGGCAGUGGGACAUCAGGAAGAAAGGGAUUUGGUUGGCUUGAUACACGCCUGAAGCCACUCUCAUCUUUCAUCCCUUCCCUUUUUUGGUUUUGGUCUUGGUUUUCCUUCCCUCACAUUACUCCUGACCCAGUCGGGCCAUCAGGAAGAAAGGGGGAUUGGAAAUAGACUUCUUGGAGGGUGGAGAUUCUUUUAAUUUUCUCCUCUCGGUUUCUUCUUCCCUCUUCCCUCUUGGGUGGUACAGAGAGAAAAGGAGGGA
This 279-nucleotide long non-coding RNA is filed under the name Phoenix dactylifera (date palm). RNAcentral's name for it is "long non-coding RNA (PDAC_LNC004234)". The record is from RNAcentral. Lineage: Eukaryota; Viridiplantae; Streptophyta; Magnoliopsida; Arecales; Arecaceae.